UAUAUCCCUUAAUCCCACAUAUGCUCUUUACCCGAUCUCCUUCUCGCAGCGGCGGCUGAAUCCUUCUCCAGCGGUGGCGGAAUCCUUCUCCUGCAGCGGCGCAGGUCUCGCUCGGUGUAGUUGGAGGCACUCGUAUCAUAAAGCACUUUUGUAGAUCUUCCCCGUGGUCAUUAGAGGUGACAUCUAAUAUUUUUUUCCCCUCUUGUUCUACAAGCUAUUUGAAGAAAAAUGUUCCGCUCUAAGUCAGAUUCCUCCGCGUGACGAUGAUGAUGAUGGCGACGAUGAUAACGAUGAUGCUGGUGAUGCUAUUUCAUGAUUUUAAUUAUGUUUGGUGAGGCGAAAUAUGUAUCGGAGAAAAAAGUAAGUAUUAAAUAACACACUCGUAGUUGAACAUGUUAGACUUUUAAUUAUAUUUAUAUAUUUUUAAAUUAGUUAUAUUUGAAAAGUUAAAUAAAGGUAUCUUUUUAUAUAUUUGUUGAAAUUUGAUAUUACUGCAUUAUUACUUCAAAUUCCAAAUUAUGAUUAGAGUUUGCCUAACAACCAAGUAACUAUGAGUACUUAAAGACUAGUAUCAACUAAUUGCUCAUAUAUUAGUUUGUGCUUUUUUCAUUUCAGACAUUUUCAUAUUAUAGGAAUUUUAAGAAUACAUCUCAUUCUCUCUAUGUUUGAUGAAAUAUAGUAUUUGUAAAACUUGUUUGAUAAGGUGAAAUAUGGUAUAUCAUAACAAUUUGAUACAAAUGAAACUGUUAGAAUUGUGAGAUUGUUAGAAUUUAAGUUAUUAUCUUUCUGGUUACACAUGAUCUGGUUUAUUCGUUUGUUUGUAUGCAGGAAGAGAAGAGUUGAUGGGGAUGAAAGCUUUUGUGGAGAAAGAAGAUGAGUUGAUGUAUCUUAGUUUUUUUUAAAAUUUAACUCCUUGUUUAACUUCUUGGAUUAUUAGACUUUAUAAAUAUUUGAGUGUUGAACUUGUAUAAUAUUUUGGAGUCGUUUGAAGAA
This is a long non-coding RNA of Zingiber officinale, 993 nucleotides long. RefSeq lists it as uncharacterized. The transcript is spliced from 5 exons. NCBI's taxonomy places the organism in Eukaryota, Viridiplantae, Streptophyta, Magnoliopsida, Zingiberales, Zingiberaceae. The record is from RefSeq and is a predicted model, not a curated record.